Molecule: transfer RNA, 75 nt
Filed under: Chloroflexota bacterium
Lineage: Bacteria; Bacillati; Chloroflexota
Also listed under: 2 other names
Description: tRNA-Lys
Rfam family: tRNA
About the family: Transfer RNA (tRNA) molecules are approximately 80 nucleotides in length. Their secondary structure includes four short double-helical elements and three loops (D, anti-codon, and T loops).
Source: RNAcentral
GGGCCGGUAGCUCAAUGGCAGAGCAAGUGACUCUUAAUCACUAGGUUGCGAGUUCGACCCUCGCCCGGCUCACCA